Hyla sarda is the source of this 1223-nucleotide long non-coding RNA. RefSeq lists it as uncharacterized. NCBI's taxonomy places the organism in Eukaryota, Metazoa, Chordata, Amphibia, Anura, Hylidae. The record is from RefSeq and is a predicted model, not a curated record. The transcript is spliced from 5 exons.
GGCCGGGCUCAGCUUACUGCCCUCCACCACAGGCCUGGACACCCACCCAAUGCCUCCAGACCCCCUGCCCACCCUGAUGCUGCCCUUCAUGAGGAUCAGAAUCCGCUGACACAGUGAGGAGCCGUCUGGGCAUCAAGUUCUUCAGCGAGAACAUUUAGCUGGACCUGGCGAGGAUCAGAAUCCGCUGACACAGUGAGGAGCCGUCUGGGCGUCAAGUUCUUCAGCGAGAACAAUUAGCUGGACCUGGCGGUCACUUUGUGUCUAUGAAGAUUUGCCUCAAGUUCUACAGCAACGUCCCUUAGAGGGCACUCCUUUCUAGAAGAACGUUUUAGAACUCAGAGGCGAAUCGCCUGGCUGACAUGAAAGCAAAGCGAAGAGCGGGCGGAACGCUACAUGGUGAUGAGCAGACCUGCAGAAACAGCUGCUUCUGGAACAAACUAAUUUCAUCCCAAAAAACACUGCGCUGCACUCUGGAUCUAUCAGACGAUAUGACUCCCGGAGCUGAGUGGUCUCUAAUGCAGGGGACAAGAGCAACUAAAGAAAUCUGCUGACAACCAGUUUGGAAAGAAAAGUUUCAUGUUUCCCUAAAUCCACAAUGUUCAGUUUUUUUCAGAAGGAAACAUGUACAUUAAACGGCAACCGAAUCCGAUGCGAUCAUCAAAGGCACAGCCAUAUUGUGUCAGUCACCGCCGCCGAGAAGACGAGAAUAUGUGAAUAUAAUGAGGUUAAUGCAACAGAAUAAAUGCAUCUCUAUAACCAGCAGCUAUGGCAUAAAUACCGUACUUGUUCUGAUCCUGAAUCAUUUUCUUUAUUAGGUUACAUUCACACCUACCAUGUUUUCUGCGGAUUUGGUGCUGUGUUCACUCGAUUCGUUGAACAGAUUUACACGGCAUCAAAUCUGCAGCUUCAAAUCCAAAGCAAACAUGGUAUGAGUACCGUUAUAUUCCAGAGCUGCACUCACUUUUCUGCUGGUGGAGUCACUGUGCACCUACAUCAUUUAUACUGUACUGAUGCUGAGUUACAUCCUAUUUAUAUUCCAAAGCUGCACUCACUAUUUUGCUGGUGGAGUAACUGUGUACAUACAUUACUGAUCCUUUACUGAUCCUGAUUUAUAUCCUGUAUUAUACUGCAGAGCUGUACUCACUUUUCUGCUGGUGGAGUCACUGUGUACAUUAAUUACAUUACUUAUCCUGUACUGAUCCUGAGUUAUAUCCUGUAUUAUA